Molecule: ribosomal RNA, 659 nt
Filed under: uncultured Bacilli bacterium
Lineage: Bacteria; Bacillati; Bacillota; Bacilli
Description: bacterial SSU rRNA
Rfam family: Bacterial small subunit ribosomal RNA
Source: RNAcentral
UUCACCGGAGCUUGCUCCACCGAAAGAAAAGGAGUGGCGAACGGGUGAGUAACACGUGGGUAACCUGCCCAUCAGAAGGGGAUAACACUUGGAAACAGGUGCUAAUACCGUAUAACAAUCGAAACCGCAUGGUUUCGGUUUGAAAGGCGCUUUUGCGUCACUGAUGGAUGGACCCGCGGUGCAUUAGCUAGUUGGUGAGGUAACGGCUCACCAAGGCAACGAUGCAUAGCCGACCUGAGAGGGUGAUCGGCCACAUUGGGACUGAGACACGGCCCAAACUCCUACGGGAGGCAGCAGUAGGGAAUCUUCGGCAAUGGACGGAAGUCUGACCGAGCAACGCCGCGUGAGUGAAGAAGGUUUUCGGAUCGUAAAACUCUGUUGUUAGAGAAGAACAAGGAUGAGAGUAGAAUGUUCAUCCCUUGACGGUAUCUAACCAGAAAGCCACGGCUAACUACGUGCCAGCAGCCGCGGUAAUACGUAGGUGGCAAGCGUUGUCCGGAUUUAUUGGGCGUAAAGCGAGCGCAGGCGGUUUCUUAAGUCUGAUGUGAAAGCCCCCGGCUCAACCGGGGAGGGUCAUUGGAAACUGGGAAACUUGAGUGCAGAAGAGGAGAGUGGAAUUCCAUGUGUAGCGGUGAAAUGCGUAGAUAUAUGGAGGAACA